CGCUAUCACUCCUACGGGGAGGCAGCAGUGGGGAAUAUUGCACAAUGGGGGAAACCCUGAUGCAGCCAUGCCGCGUGUGUGAAGAAGGCCUUCGGGUUGUAAAGCACUUUCAGUAGGGAGGAAGGUAGUGUAGUUAACACCUGCACUAUUUGACGUUACCUACAGAAGAAAGCACCGGCUAACUCCGUGCCAGCAGCCGCGGUAAUACGGAGGGUGCGAGCGUUAAUCGGAAUUACUGGGCGUAAAGCGCAUGCAGGCGGCCUGUUAAGUCAGAUGUGAAAGACCCGGGGCUUAACCUCGGAAUUGCAUUUGAAACUGGCAGGCUAGAGUCUUGUAGAGGGGGGUAGGAAUUUCAGGUGUAGCGGUGAAAUGCGUAGAGAUCUGAAGGAAUACCAGUGGCGAAGGCGGCCCCCUCGGACAAAGACUGACGCUCAGAUGCGAAAGCGUGGGGAGCAAACAGGAUUAGAUACCCUGGUAG
RNAcentral lists this ribosomal RNA (478 nucleotides) under uncultured bacterium. Its description in RNAcentral is "bacterial SSU rRNA". It matches the Rfam family "Bacterial small subunit ribosomal RNA", at positions 328 to 793 of the family's 1533-position model. The record is from RNAcentral.